This 441-nucleotide ribosomal RNA is filed under the name uncultured bacterium. RNAcentral's name for it is "partial 16S ribosomal RNA". It matches the Rfam family "Bacterial small subunit ribosomal RNA", at positions 338 to 795 of the family's 1533-position model. The record is from RNAcentral.
CCUACGGGAGGCAGCAGUCGGGAAUAUUGCGCAAUGGAGGAAACCCUGACGCAGUGACGCCGCGUGCAGGAAGAAGGUUUUCGGAUUGUAAACUUCUGUAGACAGGGAAGAAAAAAGAAAGUACAUGUAGAAUAAGCUCCGACUAACGACGUGCCAGCACCGGCGGGAAUACGUAGGGAGCAAGCGUUAUCCGGAUGUAUUGGGUGUAAAGGGUGCGUAGACGGAGAAGCAAGGUAGUUGUGAAAUCCCUCGGCUUAACUGCUGAACUGCAACUAAAACUACUUCCCUUGAGUACUGGAGAGGAAAGUGGAAUUCCUAGUGUAGCGGUGAAAUGCGUAGAUAUUAGGAGGAACACCAGUGGCGAAGGCGACUUUCUGGACAGUAACUGACGUUGAGGCACGAAAGUGUGGGGAGCAAACAGGAUUAGAUACCCGUGUAGUC